RNAcentral lists this ribosomal RNA (291 nucleotides) under uncultured Lactobacillus sp. RNAcentral's name for it is "partial 16S ribosomal RNA". It matches the Rfam family "Bacterial small subunit ribosomal RNA", at positions 251 to 525 of the family's 1533-position model. The record is from RNAcentral. Lineage: Bacteria; Bacillati; Bacillota; Bacilli; Lactobacillales; Lactobacillaceae.
GGUAAAGGGACGUUACCAAGGCGAUGAUGCAUAGCCCGAGUUGAGAGACUGAUCGGCCACAUUGGGGACUGAGACACGGGCCCAAACUCCUACGGGAGGCAGCAGUAGGGAAUCUUCCACAAUGGACGCAAGUCUGAUGGAGCAAACGCCGCGUGAGUGAAGAAGGUUUUCGGAUCGUAAAAAGCUCUGUUGUUGGUGAAGAAGGAUAGAGGUAGUAACUGGCCCUUUAUUUGACGGUAAUCAACCCAGAAAGUCACGGGCUAACUACGUGCCCAGCAGCCGACGGUAAAU